RNAcentral lists this long non-coding RNA (1453 nucleotides) under Equus caballus (horse). RNAcentral describes it as "lncRNA (ENSECAG00000052532.1)". The record is from RNAcentral. Lineage: Eukaryota; Metazoa; Chordata; Mammalia; Perissodactyla; Equidae.
CGAAACUCUUACAGCCCCCAGGCUGCAGGGCAGGCAUUUGCUUCAAGUCCAAACAAACAGAUAGAGCUGCUCUGCUCUGGGCAUUGGUCUCUACAGUCACAGCAGCAUCUUGCUCUCAGGGUAAUCCCAAUCUAAACAACCAAUAUUUAAAAUGACAUAAAGCUUUUCUUGGGAGCCUGGAAAGUUUGCAGAAGACCUCACAUGGCCCUUCUUGAACGCUUCAGUUCUAUGCUCCCCUUCAUUUUGGGUCACAAACACUGUUCCUUUUCAAGAGCUGGCUUGGGAGACCGUUUGGAUUUGAUCCUGCUGGCCUGAUACUGCAUACUUGGCUGCCUGGGACUUCCUGGCUGUGCUGAUGACACUACACAGCAGGAGCAGAGAAGGCGUGGUGCUGAGAAGAGUCAAAAAGAACAGCUUACCUCCCAUUGACUUCAAAGGGAGCCUGGGGCUGGUGUGUGCAGCCGCAAAGUCCUGGAGGUGUGUUCAUCCAGCAAGUCUCGCCUCUGUUGAGAUUUAACUCUGUGCCUCGUGCUGAGCUAGAAGCUGAGGACCAGGGAAGAGCAGGACCCUCAUGGAACUUGUGGCUGGCGUGUUGUCGAGAGCUGGAACAUGCCACAACUUUGUAAUAUUGCUCUUCUACAUGGAUUUCCGUACACAGGGUCUCUAGGAGUCGGAACCAACUUGACAGCACUAACCACAAAAGCAUGGAUUUCUAUAUUCUAUCAUUCUUCUCAAGUAAAGCUUGGAUCUGCUCCUUUCCCUUUGAACACUGAGGGCUCCGUCUCCAAGUUCCUUUGCUAGAAGGCAUAUUAUGAAACGGGAUGUAUCGUCAGAGACGCAGUCGAAGACGGUGGCUGCAGGAGAAAUAUCAACGCUUUAUUUGCAGACUGUAAAGCCUGACAUUCUGAUAAAAAAGUGGGACCCAAUGAAGCAGAACUGCCAUGUAAACAUUAAGUGAGAUAAUUUAUGGAGAGUAUAAGGGUUUCCUGAGUUUUCUCUCAUCACAGUCAUAUGAGCCACAUGUUAUCUCCAUUUUACAGACUGGGGAAACUGAGGCCAUACAACCAAUAGGAAGUGGAACCCAGGGCUGCUGUGUUUCACAUCUCCAGGCAGCACCAUUGGAUAUCAUUGUCUACGUGGAUAGUGCCCCUGGAACUGGGCAGUACACAGCCUGCACAGCCCCAUUCAGUGACCCCAUUUCAACAAUAUCUACUGGGGACAGACAGGUUGUGAGCAAGGCCUGGACCCUGUACCUGUCCCAGGGGUGCUUACAUCGUGGAAGAUCUGGCAGAAUACUCUCAGCCCUCAGGUGAAUCAUAGAGCAGAGAAGUUGAGAGCACAGAUGCUGGAGUCAGACUGCAUGAGAAAACCUGACUGUGCCAUUCAUUAGCCAAGCAGCAAUACACGUCUCUCGGUGUUUCUGUGACUCCGUCUCCUCAUCUAUACAAUGGGG